AGAGCGAACGCUGGCGGCAGGCCUAACACAUGCAAGUCGAACGGACCCUUCGGGGUUAGUGGCGGACGGGUGAGUAACACGUGGGAACGUGCCUUUUGGUUCGGAAUAGCUCCUGGAAACGGGUGGUAAUGCCGAAUGUGCCCUUCGGGGGAAAGAUUUAUCGCCAUUAGAGCGGCCCGCGUCUGAUUAGCUAGUUGGUGAGGUAAUGGCUCACCAAGGCGACGAUCAGUAGCUGGUCUGAGAGGAUGACCAGCCACAUUGGGACUGAGACACGGCCCAAACUCCUACGGGAGCAGCAGUGGGGAAU
Molecule: ribosomal RNA, 307 nt
Filed under: uncultured soil bacterium
Lineage: Bacteria
Description: bacterial SSU rRNA
Rfam family: Bacterial small subunit ribosomal RNA
Source: RNAcentral